GGAAUAUAAAAACUCGUCUCUUAACUUUUAACUAAAAAAGCUAAGAACCGGUUCUUAAAACUCUUAUUUAAGAACCGGUUUUUAGCUUUUUAGUUAAAAAUUAAGAGACGGGUUCUUAUAUUCC
Molecule: microRNA precursor, 124 nt
Filed under: Brassica napus (rape)
Lineage: Eukaryota; Viridiplantae; Streptophyta; Magnoliopsida; Brassicales; Brassicaceae
Description: MIR9563 microRNA precursor family
Rfam family: MIR9563 microRNA precursor family
Source: Rfam by way of RNAcentral